This 253-nucleotide ribosomal RNA is filed under the name uncultured bacterium. Its description in RNAcentral is "partial 16S ribosomal RNA". It matches the Rfam family "Bacterial small subunit ribosomal RNA", at positions 524 to 776 of the family's 1533-position model. The record is from RNAcentral.
UACGAAGGGGGCUAGCGUUGCUCGGAAUCACUGGGCGUAAAGCGCACGUAGGCGGAUUGCUAAGUCAGGGGUGAAAUCCUGGAGCUCAACUCCAGAACUGCCCUUGAUACUGGCGGUCUCGAGUCCGGGAGAGGUGAGUGGAACUGCGAGUGUAGAGGUGAAAUUCGUAGAUAUUCGCAAGAACACCAGUGGCGAAGGCGGCUCACUGGCCCGGUACUGACGCUGAGGAGCGAAAGCGUGGGGAGCGAACAGG